RNAcentral lists this ribosomal RNA (497 nucleotides) under uncultured bacterium. RNAcentral describes it as "partial 16S ribosomal RNA". It matches the Rfam family "Bacterial small subunit ribosomal RNA", at positions 28 to 507 of the family's 1533-position model. The record is from RNAcentral.
GAUGAACGCUGGCGGCGUGCCUAAUACAUGCAAGUCGAGCGAACGGACGAGAAGCUUGCUUUUCUGAUGUUAGCGGCGGACGGGUGAGUAACACGUGGAUAACCUACCUAUAAGACUGGGAUAACUUCGGGGAACCGGAGCUAAUACCGGAUAAUAUUUUGAACCGCAUGGUUCAAAAGUGAAAGACGGUCUUGCUGUCACUUAUAGAUGGAUCCGCGCUGCAUUAGCUAGUUGGUAAGGUAACGGCUUACCAAGGCAACGAUGCAUAGCCGACCUGAGAGGGUGAUCGGCCACACUGGAACUGAGACACGGUCCAGACUCCUACGGGAGGCAGCAGUAGGGAAUCUUCCGCAAUGGGCGAAAGCCUGACGGAGCAACGCCGCGUGAGUGAUGAAGGUCUUCGGAUCGUAAAACUCUGUUAUUAGGGAAGAACAUAUGUGUAAGUAACUGUGCACAUCUUGACGGUACCUAAUCAGAAAGCCACGGCUAAUUACGUG